GGCUGGUUCAAGUGGUCCAAGUAUAGUGGUGUUUAUAACUAAGUGAUCAAAACCAGUUACAGAUUUCUUCGUUCCUUCUCCAGGCCUCACUUGACUAGCCAAAA
Unclassified non-coding RNA from Otolemur garnettii (small-eared galago), 104 nucleotides. It matches the Rfam family "Y RNA". From Rfam's summary of the family: Y RNAs are components of the Ro ribonucleoprotein particle (Ro RNP), in association with Ro60 and La proteins. The Y RNAs and Ro60 and La proteins are well conserved, but the function of the Ro RNP is not known. In humans the RNA component can be one of four small RNAs -- hY1, hY3, hY4 and hY5. The record is from Ensembl. NCBI's taxonomy places the organism in Eukaryota, Metazoa, Chordata, Mammalia, Primates, Galagidae.